UUCAAUUAUCCAAACGAUCGCGUUGCCCAUACUCUCGCGCAAGAAGAUAUUAAACCCUAGAAAAAUUUUCAGAUCCCGAUCAUUGUGUCCCUUGUUUAUAGUUUUAUCGAAAUCGUUUCAGGUAAUUGCAGAUGCAAUUUAAUUUCCCCUAAUAUUUUGUCUAUUUUUACUUUUGUUUGUGUGUGAAUUUGAGUUUCCCUUGACGAAUCUAUCGUAAUAAAGUUAAGUUUAUUAAAAAAAAAUUGUUGGAUUUGUUCCGUUGCGUGUUCUUAAUUUUUAAGUUUCUUUUAUACCUUACUUUUUACUCUUGGUUGUGAUGGUAUUUUUAGUUCGUUCUAAAUUUGCCAUUUGUGUAUCUUUUUCGAUAUCACGAAGUGUCAUUGAAUUAACAUGAGAGGAUGGAGUUUCAUUAUAUCAAAAAUUUUCUAGCAGAAGCAGAAAUAUAUGUACACUUUAUCAUAAUUUGAAGUCAUAUUUAGUUAACUCCCAAAUACUGGGAAAUUUGGAAUUAAUACCUACGGCAUUAUGUGGAAUUGGAUUUCAACUUAAUCCAUUUAUAAGUAGUUUGUCAUGUUUUUCACUGUAAAGGGUCAUUGAUUUUCAAAAGUAUACGGCUGUUGAUUUUGCAAAUAUAUAUUGUUUAUGCUAUGCCUGUGAAAUACGCAUCUCUGGAACGAUUGAUUCUGCUACAAAUUCCUGCUUGGUAUUUGCCUGACUCUCGUAUUUUUUUUUUACACCAAUAUUUUUUUCUGUAAGGUUUGUUUUCAUAGUUAAUAUUCUUUUACACAGGAGAAAUGUCUUCAUUUGAUAAUGUUGUUGGUGGAAAGCUGAAACUUAAGGGGAAGGCUCUGGAUGUGAAAGCAGGUGGAGUGAAGAAAAAGAAGAAGCAAAAGAAGCAGUACGAGCAAAUUUCCGAGGUCACAGAAAAUGAGUUUCCAGCAGGUGUGUUGAACUAACUGGAAAAGCCUGAAAUUAAAUCCUUCAUUAGGCUAACAACUUAAUCAAUUUGUGGAAUGUUAAUAGAUAAGGUUGGGGCACAUUUAUUUAUCUUUGUCCUUGUAUGUUUUUAAUUCAUCUAAGUUUAUUAGUGGUAACUCAUGUAGACAAUCUACUCCAAUCAUUGGUUUGUUUAGUUCUGUCUGUUGAAGUAUUGGUGUUUCUACUUUAUAACAAUUAAAUUGUGAGGACAAGUCUGGGGGAAGGAUAGUGGAGAGAAAAUGCUUGUUAAGACUUGUUAAGAGUUAAUUAAAUUAUUAUCAGUAUUUUAAAAGGCGUAAUGCAUGGCAAUAUGUGGAGGCCAAGCUAUAGGCCAGGCGAGCUUUGGCG
RNAcentral lists this long non-coding RNA (1326 nucleotides) under Olea europaea subsp. europaea. Lineage: Eukaryota; Viridiplantae; Streptophyta; Magnoliopsida; Lamiales; Oleaceae. The record is from RNAcentral.